This 334-nucleotide long non-coding RNA is filed under the name Mytilus galloprovincialis (Mediterranean mussel). Lineage: Eukaryota; Metazoa; Mollusca; Bivalvia; Mytilida; Mytilidae. The record is from RNAcentral.
CAUUUUAUCUGAAUUGCCAGAUAUUGAAAAUAAGUGAUCGUUAUCAGUAUUUAUGUUUCAAAAGAUGUUUUAUUUCCCUAUAUUUUCUAAAUUAAUGUUAACUCUUCUCACUUGAAAUGCUUUAAAUUUAAUAUGCUAACUCAGAAUGCAACAAUCUUUAAAUCUGGGUGGAAGUUGAAGGUGAUAAGUUUGUUCUGUUUGUGUUCCCACUCUCUUAUCGGAUAUCCUUAAGAACUUUAAGAUGAUAUUACAUUUUAGAACCUCAGUUUUUGUAGAGCUUUGAAUUGUUAUGUUAAUGUUGCUUUUGUUUUAAUGUGUUAUUAGCAUGCACCAC